UCUGUGUGUCCCUGUUCAUCGUGGUUGUGAUGUCCUCUUUGAAUCAUCACAACCUGCAUGAAUGAGGACAGGCUCGC
Lottia gigantea (owl limpet) is the source of this 77-nucleotide microRNA precursor. It matches the Rfam family "mir-67 microRNA precursor family". NCBI's taxonomy places the organism in Eukaryota, Metazoa, Mollusca, Gastropoda, Lottiidae. The record is from Rfam.